AACGAACGCUGGCGGCGUGCCUAACACAUGCAAGUCGAACGGAAUUAGAGAGCUUGCUCUUUGAUUUAGUGGCGCACGGGUGAGUAACGCGUAGAUAAUCUGCCUGACGAUCUGGGAUAACACUUCGAAAGAGGUGCUAAUACCGGAUAAGCCCACGGGUUCUUUGGAAUCUGCGGGAAAAGGGGGGGACCUUCGGGCCUUCUGUCGUCAGAUGAGUCUGCGUACCAUUAGCUAGUUGGUAGGGUAAAGGCCUACCAAGGCGACGAUGGUUAGCUGGUCUGGGAGGAUGAUCAGCCACACUGGAACUGAGACACGGUCCAGACUCCUACGGGAGGCAGCAGUGGGGAAUUUUGCGCAAUGGGCGAAAGCCUGACGCAGCAACGCCGCGUGAGUGAUGAAGGCUUUCGGGUCGUAAAGCUCUGUCAAUGGGAAAGAAGUGUAUUUUGGCUAAUAUCCUUAAUACUUGACGGUACCCAUAAAGGAAGCACCGGCUAACUCCGUGCCAGCCGCCGCGGUAA
Molecule: ribosomal RNA, 518 nt
Filed under: uncultured bacterium
Lineage: Bacteria
Description: partial 16S ribosomal RNA
Rfam family: Bacterial small subunit ribosomal RNA
Source: RNAcentral